This 223-nucleotide unclassified non-coding RNA is filed under the name rhizosphere metagenome. RNAcentral's name for it is "partial ribosomal RNA internal transcribed spacer region". The record is from RNAcentral.
GUAGGUGAUCCUGCGGAAGGAUCAUUAUUGAAAUCGUAGUCUUCGGACUCACCUCUCUAACCUUUCAUACCUGUGCACAUUUAUGAACCGAGUGCUAUUCAACUUUGGCCGACGCCUCGGGUCGGUCAUUCUAUCAACCAACGAUGUUUAUAAGAAUGCUAUCUGUCUCGUUGUAAUGAUGAGUACAACCCCUAAACUUUCAACAACGGAUCACUAGGCUCAG